UUUCUUUUUCCUUUUUCAAAGCAGCGUGCAUUCUAUUCUUUAAUGAGUUCUUACCAAGUCUAUCUGAGGCCAACAGACAAGUUGAGAAUCGAUCUAGAGAGUUGGUAAUAAAUCGAUGAUGGAUCCAAGCUGUAUUUUACCCUUCAGAUGCUGAGAACUUUUCUGGCAGCAAUCCAGGCAGUACUGAAGUUGACUUCCCCAGUCAAGAAAAUACUGAAUCCAACAUGUCAUUGGAUGCUUCAAAGGAGCCUGUUGAGCAUAUUGAGGUUGAUAUAUCUGAAGGGGUUGCAGCUGAGAUGUUUGUAAUUUCAUCUUCUGCUGAAAGGAGGUUUCUUGCACAGCUUGCAAACCCUCUUCCUGAUGGUUAUAAGAGUCCAUGUUUCUCGGCCAUUAUCAUUCAUGGCUUUCGAUAUUUACGGCUCUGCGAACUGGUGAUCAUGCUGGGUUCACGUUU
Eucalyptus grandis is the source of this 454-nucleotide long non-coding RNA. RefSeq lists it as uncharacterized. The record is from RefSeq and is a predicted model, not a curated record. Lineage: Eukaryota; Viridiplantae; Streptophyta; Magnoliopsida; Myrtales; Myrtaceae. The transcript has 3 exons.